GACGAACGCUGGCGGCGCGCUUAACACAUGCAAGUCGAGCGAGAACCAGGCCUUCGGGCCUGGGGAAAGCGGCGAACGGGUGAGUAACACGUGGGCAACCCACCCUUGGUACCGGGAUAGCCCGAGGAAACUCGGAUUAAUACCGGAUGGCCCAACAGCUCUUCGGGGCGGUUGGAAAAGGUAGCUUCGGCCUCCGACCAAGGACGGGCCCGCGGUGGAUUAGCUUGUUGGUGGGGUAAUGGCCUACCAAGGCGACGAUCCANAGCUGGUCUGAGAGGACGAUCAGCCACACUGGGACUGAGACACGGCCCAGACUCCUACGGGAGGCAGCAGUGGGGAAUCUUGCGCAAUGGGCGAAAGCCUGACGCAGCGACGCCGCGUGGGGAAGAAGGCUUUCGGGUUGUAAACCCCUUUCAGGAAGGACGAAGCUACUCGGGUUAAUAGCCCAGAGGGUGACGGUACUUCCAGAAGAAGCCCCGGCUAACUACGUGCCAGCCGCCGCGGUAAU
Molecule: ribosomal RNA, 508 nt
Filed under: uncultured bacterium
Lineage: Bacteria
Description: bacterial SSU rRNA
Rfam family: Bacterial small subunit ribosomal RNA
Source: RNAcentral